This 157-nucleotide unclassified non-coding RNA is filed under the name uncultured fungus. Its description in RNAcentral is "sequence contains ITS1, 5.8S rRNA gene". Lineage: Eukaryota; Fungi. The record is from RNAcentral.
GCGAGUUUACGCACUCCAAACCCACUGUGAACAGUUCCACGUUGCUUCGGCGGGCGGCCCCUCGGGGUCACGUCGCCCCUCGUUAGGGGUGCCCGCCAGAAGACCAAACCAAAACUCGUUUUUUUAGCGGCAUUCUGAGUCUAAAAACAAACUGUUA